Molecule: long non-coding RNA, 886 nt
Filed under: Homo sapiens (human)
Lineage: Eukaryota; Metazoa; Chordata; Mammalia; Primates; Hominidae
Description: long intergenic non-protein coding RNA 632
Source: RNAcentral
ACCACCGAGCACUGAGACUCACCCUAAAUGUACAGACAAGCCCUUCAGGGCACAGACUUACUCUGUAACAUACUAAAUCACAUCCCCCAUACUUAGAUGUGCCUUAUGAUUCACAGUGAUGCGUGUAAACACAUAGAUUGCUUCCACAAUGCACAGAAUUGCAUCAUAACACAGACUUACUCUACAGUGCAAAACUGACAGUGCACAUAAACAUUUCCCAGUCGGCUAGACACACAACACACAUAUUACUCCUACAAUGUAAAGAUUUCCAUCACGGUGGACAGACGUGCUUUUCCAUGCUGUUGAGCUACAACUCUGGCCUACAACAACAGAAAUACAGCUUGUGUAAUAGUUACCAGCAAGGCCUCUAGACCCAUACUAACUGGGUUUGAAUCAAGGUCCCGUCCCUUGCUGAUUGUAUCACCUUGGGAGGAGAUGGAAGAUUGAGAGCAGAGUGCAAGAAUGGGAAGAGGGCUUCGUGCCCUGUGCACGUUUGCCACCUAGUGACCAAACUGACUACACUAACCCAAAGAAACUGCGGGAUCAACUAAGAUCAGCUUGAGGACUCAACCUGGUUACCCAGGAGUUAUGGCACUACCAGAAACUCUCAGGCUCUAGAGAGAAAAAAGACUACUGGGAGAGAACUCCAGACACUUGUGGAUGGAUAGUCAGAUGUUUAUUCCAACACCAUUUUUUGAGUAGUCCAUCCUUUCCUUAAUGUUCGGAAAUACUACCAGACAACUGUAAAAAUAUUAAAAAUGAAUAAGUGAACAUAUUUGUAUUAUCUUAUUGGGGGAAAGACUUUUCAAAGCAAGGCAGAAACAGUUGACUACAUAAAUACUUGAAGCAACUUUAUGGCAAAAGACAAAAGCAAUAAAAUUCGAAA